This 441-nucleotide ribosomal RNA is filed under the name Peniophora laeta. RNAcentral's name for it is "partial large subunit ribosomal RNA". It matches the Rfam family "Bacterial large subunit ribosomal RNA", at positions 1712 to 2107 of the family's 2925-position model. Lineage: Eukaryota; Fungi; Basidiomycota; Agaricomycetes; Russulales; Peniophoraceae. The record is from RNAcentral.
UCUCGGGCAAAAUAUCCUCAUAAGUUUGACGAAAAGAGGCUACCGUGAAAAUUAAGCCUGUUCUUCUAAAAUCUCAAUCUGCAAAGGUCCAGAUCAGGAAGGAUAAAUUAGUAGCGGUAUAAGAAAAUCGGAAGCCACGACUGUUUACUAAAAACACAAUUCAGAGCAAUGAUAAGUAUCAUAGUAUUCUGGAUGAAAUUUGCUCAAUGCCUGCAGUAUAAGAGAGGUAAUUUUUUAGUUACUAAUCGAAAGCCUGGUAAAUAGCGGUCUUAACUAUGAGGAUCCAAAGGUAGCAAAAUCAAUUGGCCAUUAAAUGUGGUCCAGUAUCAAUAAUGUAACGAUGGUUUCACUGUCUCUACAACUUGCUCAGUGAAAUUGAACUGUGAGUGCAGAUGCUCACUAACUCAAGGGGGACGGGAAGACCCUAUGCGCUUCUACUGA